CCUGGUGGCUCAGUUGGUAAAGAAUCUGCCUAUGAUGCAGAAGACCUGGGUUCAAUCCCUGGGUCAGGA
This 69-nucleotide transfer RNA is filed under the name Ovis aries (sheep). It matches the Rfam family "tRNA". From Rfam's summary of the family: Transfer RNA (tRNA) molecules are approximately 80 nucleotides in length. Their secondary structure includes four short double-helical elements and three loops (D, anti-codon, and T loops). The record is from Rfam by way of RNAcentral. Lineage: Eukaryota; Metazoa; Chordata; Mammalia; Artiodactyla; Bovidae.